RNAcentral lists this transfer RNA (83 nucleotides) under Actinomycetota bacterium. Its description in RNAcentral is "tRNA-Leu". It matches the Rfam family "tRNA". From Rfam's summary of the family: Transfer RNA (tRNA) molecules are approximately 80 nucleotides in length. Their secondary structure includes four short double-helical elements and three loops (D, anti-codon, and T loops). Further hydrogen bonds mediate the characteristic L-shaped molecular structure. tRNAs have two regions of fundamental functional importance: the anti-codon, which is responsible for specific mRNA codon recognition, and the 3' end, to which the tRNAs corresponding amino acid is attached (by aminoacyl-tRNA synthetases). tRNAs cope with the degeneracy of the genetic code in two manners: having more than one tRNA (with a specific anti-codon) for a particular amino acid; and 'wobble' base-pairing, i.e. permitting non-standard base-pairing at the 3rd anti-codon position. Lineage: Bacteria; Bacillati; Actinomycetota. The record is from RNAcentral.
GCCCGGGUGGUGGAACGGUAGACACUCGGCUCUCAAAAAGCCGUGCCCUCAAGGGCGUGUGGGUUCGAGUCCCACCCCGGGCA